Molecule: ribosomal RNA, 2923 nt
Filed under: Klebsiella quasipneumoniae subsp. similipneumoniae
Lineage: Bacteria; Pseudomonadati; Pseudomonadota; Gammaproteobacteria; Enterobacterales; Enterobacteriaceae
Description: 23S ribosomal RNA
Rfam family: Bacterial large subunit ribosomal RNA
Source: RNAcentral
GGGUUGUGAGGUUAAGCGACUAAGCGUACACGGUGGAUGCCCUGGCAGUCAGAGGCGAUGAAGGACGUGCUAAUCUGCGAAAAGCGUCGGUAAGGUGAUAUGAACCGUUAUAACCGGCGAUGUCCGAAUGGGGAAACCCAGUGCAAUUCGUUGCACUAUCGUUAACUGAAUACAUAGGUUAACGAGGCGAACCGGGGGAACUGAAACAUCUAAGUACCCCGAGGAAAAGAAAUCAACCGAGAUUCCCCCAGUAGCGGCGAGCGAACGGGGAGCAGCCCAGAGUCUGAAUCAGCUUGUGUGUUAGUGGAACGGUCUGGAAAGUCCGACGGUACAGGGUGAUAGUCCCGUACACCAAAAUGCACAGGCUGUGAACUCGAAGAGUAGGGCGGGACACGUGGUAUCCUGUCUGAAUAUGGGGGGACCAUCCUCCAAGGCUAAAUACUCCUGACUGACCGAUAGUGAACCAGUACCGUGAGGGAAAGGCGAAAAGAACCCCGGCGAGGGGAGUGAAAAAGAACCUGAAACCGUGUACGUACAAGCAGUGGGAGCACCUUCGGGUGUGACUGCGUACCUUUUGUAUAAUGGGUCAGCGACUUAUAUUCUGUAGCAAGGUUAACCGUAUAGGGGAGCCGCAGGGAAACCGAGUCUUAACUGGGCGUUAAGUUGCAGGGUAUAGACCCGAAACCCGGUGAUCUAGCCAUGGGCAGGUUGAAGGUUGGGUAACACUAACUGGAGGACCGAACCGACUAAUGUUGAAAAAUUAGCGGAUGACUUGUGGCUGGGGGUGAAAGGCCAAUCAAACCGGGAGAUAGCUGGUUCUCCCCGAAAGCUAUUUAGGUAGCGCCUCGUGAACUCAUCUUCGGGGGUAGAGCACUGUUUCGGCUAGGGGGUCAUCCCGACUUACCAACCCGAUGCAAACUACGAAUACCGAAGAAUGUUAUCACGGGAGACACACGGCGGGUGCUAACGUCCGUCGUGAAGAGGGAAACAACCCAGACCGCCAGCUAAGGUCCCAAAGUCAUGGUUAAGUGGGAAACGAUGUGGGAAGGCACAGACAGCCAGGAUGUUGGCUUAGAAGCAGCCAUCAUUUAAAGAAAGCGUAAUAGCUCACUGGUCGAGUCGGCCUGCGCGGAAGAUGUAACGGGGCUAAACCAUGCACCGAAGCUGCGGCAGCGACACUAUGUGUUGUUGGGUAGGGGAGCGUUCUGUAAGCCUGCGAAGGUGACCUGUGAGGGUUGCUGGAGGUAUCAGAAGUGCGAAUGCUGACAUAAGUAACGAUAAAGCGGGUGAAAAGCCCGCUCGCCGGAAGACCAAGGGUUCCUGUCCAACGUUAAUCGGGGCAGGGUGAGUCGACCCCUAAGGCGAGGCCGAAAGGCGUAGUCGAUGGGAAACAGGUUAAUAUUCCUGUACUUGGUGUUACUGCGAAGGGGGGACGGAGAAGGCUAUGUUAGCCGGGCGACGGUUGUCCCGGUUUAAGCAUGUAGGCUGGUUAUCCAGGCAAAUCCGGAUAAUCAAGGCUGAGGUGUGAUGACGAGGCACUACGGUGCUGAAGUAACAAAUGCCCUGCUUCCAGGAAAAGCCUCUAAGCAUCAGGUAACAUCAAAUCGUACCCCAAACCGACACAGGUGGUCAGGUAGAGAAUACCAAGGCGCUUGAGAGAACUCGGGUGAAGGAACUAGGCAAAAUGGUGCCGUAACUUCGGGAGAAGGCACGCUGGUGUGUAGGUGAAGCCCCUGCGGGUGGAGCUGAGACCAGUCGAAGAUACCAGCUGGCUGCAACUGUUUAUUAAAAACACAGCACUGUGCAAACACGAAAGUGGACGUAUACGGUGUGACGCCUGCCCGGUGCCGGAAGGUUAAUUGAUGGGGUUAUCCGUAAGGAGAAGCUCUUGAUCGAAGCCCCGGUAAACGGCGGCCGUAACUAUAACGGUCCUAAGGUAGCGAAAUUCCUUGUCGGGUAAGUUCCGACCUGCACGAAUGGCGUAAUGAUGGCCAGGCUGUCUCCACCCGAGACUCAGUGAAAUUGAACUCGCUGUGAAGAUGCAGUGUACCCGCGGCAAGACGGAAAGACCCCGUGAACCUUUACUAUAGCUUGACACUGAACAUUGAGCCUUGAUGUGUAGGAUAGGUGGGAGGCUUUGAAGCGUGGACGCCAGUCUGCGUGGAGCCAACCUUGAAAUACCACCCUUUAAUGUUUGAUGUUCUAACGUUGGCCCCUUAUCGGGGUUGCGGACAGUGUCUGGUGGGUAGUUUGACUGGGGCGGUCUCCUCCCAAAGCGUAACGGAGGAGCACGAAGGUUAGCUAAUCCUGGUCGGACAUCAGGAGGUUAGUGCAAUGGCAUAAGCUAGCUUGACUGCGAGCGUGACGGCGCGAGCAGGUGCGAAAGCAGGUCAUAGUGAUCCGGUGGUUCUGAAUGGAAGGGCCAUCGCUCAACGGAUAAAAGGUACUCCGGGGAUAACAGGCUGAUACCGCCCAAGAGUUCAUAUCGACGGCGGUGUUUGGCACCUCGAUGUCGGCUCAUCACAUCCUGGGGCUGAAGUAGGUCCCAAGGGUAUGGCUGUUCGCCAUUUAAAGUGGUACGCGAGCUGGGUUUAGAACGUCGUGAGACAGUUCGGUCCCUAUCUGCCGUGGGCGCUGGAGAAUUGAGGGGGGCUGCUCCUAGUACGAGAGGACCGGAGUGGACGCAUCACUGGUGUUCGGGUUGUCAUGCCAAUGGCACUGCCCGGUAGCUAAAUGCGGAAGAGAUAAGUGCUGAAAGCAUCUAAGCACGAAACUUGCCCCGAGAUGAGUUCUCCCUGAGACUUUAAGUCUCCUGAAGGAACGUUGAAGACGAUGACGUUGAUAGGCCGGGUGUGUAAGCGCAGCGAUGCGUUGAGCUAACCGGUACUAAUGAACCGUGAGGCUUAACCUUACAACGCCGAAG